This 300-nucleotide ribosomal RNA is filed under the name uncultured bacterium. RNAcentral describes it as "bacterial SSU rRNA". It matches the Rfam family "Bacterial small subunit ribosomal RNA", at positions 28 to 345 of the family's 1533-position model. The record is from RNAcentral.
GAUGAACGCUGGCGGCGUGUCUAAGGCAUGCAAGUCGAGUGGGUUCAGACCCACGGCAAACGGGAGCGUAACACAUUGGUAACCUACCCCUAACUGGAGGAUAACCCGCCGAAAGGCGGAGUAAUACUCCAUUAAUUACGCGGACAUAUGUCCGCGUAAUAAAGAUUUAUCGGUUAGGGAGGGGCCUAUGGUCUAUCAGCUAGUUGGCGGAGUAAAAGCCCACCAAGGCGAUGACGGAUAGCGGGUGUGAGAGCACGACCCGCCUCACUGGGACUGAGAUACUGCCCAGACACCUACGGG